Molecule: non-coding RNA, 494 nt
Organism: Meriones unguiculatus (Mongolian gerbil)
Lineage: Eukaryota; Metazoa; Chordata; Mammalia; Rodentia; Muridae
Source: the annotation of a RefSeq genome assembly
UGAAAACCAGCCCUGCCCUGACUCUGCAGCUCUGGCAGAGGAGCUCAGCCCUAAAUUUCCUGACCUCCCAUUCAGAGAUCAGCACUGAACACAGACGUUUUACCAUGGACUUGGGGAUCAGCCUGGUUUUCCUUGUCUUUAUUUUAAAAGGUGUCCAGAGUGACGUGCAGCUUGUGGAGUCUGGCGGAGGCUUAGUGCAGCCUGGAAAGUCCCUGAAACUCUCCUGUGCAGCCUCUGGAUUUACCUUCAGUAAUUACUACAUGCACUGGGUCCGCCAGGCUCCAGGGAAGGGGCUGGAGUGGGUGUCACGGAUUAGUAAUGAUGGUGGUAGCACCGCUUAUGUCGACGCCGUGAGGGGCCGAUUCACCAUCUCCAGAGACAACGCCAAGAACACCCUGUACCUGCAAAUGAACAGUCUGAGGUCUGAGGACACGGCCACAUAUUACUGUGCAAGAGACACAGUGAGUGAGUGUAACUGAGAGCUCAGACACAAA